RNAcentral lists this long non-coding RNA (1303 nucleotides) under Oryctolagus cuniculus (rabbit). RNAcentral describes it as "lncRNA (ENSOCUG00000034849.1)". The record is from RNAcentral. Lineage: Eukaryota; Metazoa; Chordata; Mammalia; Lagomorpha; Leporidae.
GGGAGAAGCUGCAGAGCUGGGUUGUGGAGGGCGGGGGUGGGGGGCACAGGUCCACCAAACUCAGGCCCAAGGGCAGGAUUUUUCUGAAUCUGAUAGCCAGUGAUUCUCAUAUGAGGUGGUUUCUAUAAUACCACAGGGCACUGCUUGACCAGUUCUCUCUCAUACACAUGCACACACACACACACACAUACACAUACAAAAACAUGCUAUGCCAUGCCUCAAAUACGAGGUCUUCAGAAAGGGCACUAGGGUAGAUCUUCCUGAGGAUUUAAUGUUGUGCUUCCAAAUGUGAUAAAAAAUAAAAGCCAUAUGGAGACCAUGUUUUAUUUAUUUAUUUUCAAAAAUAUUUAUUUUUAUAUUUUUGACAGAGUUACAGAGAGAGGUAGAGACACAGAGAGAGGUCUUCCAUCCGAUGGUUCACUCCCCAGGUGGCUGCAAUGGCCGGCACUGGUCGGAUUCGAAGCCAGGAGCCAGGAGCUUCUUCCAGGUCUGCCACACGGGUGCAGGAGCCCAAGGACUUGGGCUAUCUUCUACUGCUUUCCCAGGCCACAGCAGAGAGAUGGAUUGGAAAUGGAGCAGCCGGGACAUGAACCUGCGCCCAUAUGGGAUGCCGGCGCUUCAGGCUAGGACGUUAACCCACUGCGCCACAGUGCCGGCCCCAGAAAUAAAUAAAAUCUUAAAAAAAAGAAACUGACAUUUAGCCAACUAAGUGACAUAAGCCCUAAAGUUCAAAGGCCUUGAUGGAAAAACCAAAUUUUACCCCAAGCAUUAGCAAAGCAAACAUGGCUCAUAAAAGCUUCUGGAGGGUCAGUUGUCAGAGGCUCUUUCCCUACCUGGGUUACCCUGGGCAGUCGGGAGGCUGGCUUCAGACAGAGCCCUCCCUGCCUCAGCCUCACAGCUCAUCUUGCAAAGCAGACUGCUCCUCUGCCCACAGACAACAGAAACCAGGAGAGCCCGGCACAUCCUGGACCAGGCAGACACAGGAGUCCCUCAGACAGGUGCCACCAUCUCCUCCAAAAUUCUUCCAGACCUUCUUCAUGUUCCUCCAAGUUGGAAGUUGAAAGUUCUCUAGGAAGUUCUAUUUUCUCAUUUCUCCUUUCAUAUUUUUGUCCUACUGCAUGCACUUUUUAGUACUGUGGUUCCUACUCCUCACUGUGCCAUUACGUGCAGAGAUUUGAAAAGUUCAAAUGCUGAGCCCAACUCCAGAGCAUAUGAAGAAGCGUCAUGGAUGAUGGGACCAUACUGAUGUGUGGCAAUCAGUAGUGGUGAAGACCACGGCACCAGCUGGAAACUCCUUGAGACU